UCAUUGAAGAAGACGAUGAGAAGCAGCUUUUGCUUUGCACACCCGAUUUUGGGUCUGUAGCUCAGUUGGUUAGAGCGCACCCCUGAUAAGGGUGAGGUCGGCAGUUCGAAUCUGCCCAGACCCACCAGUUACCUGGUGAAGUUGGUCAGAGCGCGUACGACACCCGGAUACGGGGCCAUAGCUCAGCUGGGAGAGCGCCUGCCUUGCACGCAGGAGGUCAGCGGUUCGAUCCCGCUUGGCUCCACCACUUACUGCUUCUGUUUGAAAGCUUAGAAAUGAGCAUUCCAUCCUGAUUGAAGGGUGCGUGAAUGUUGAUUUCUAGUCUUUGAUUAGAUCGUUCUUUAAAAAUUUGGGUAUGUGAUAGAAAGAAAUAUAGACCGGGCACCUCUUUCACUGGUGCGUGUCCGGGCUAAGGUAAAGUUUGUGAAAUGCAAACUUUCGGCGAAUGUCG
RNAcentral lists this transfer RNA (451 nucleotides) under Pseudomonas syringae pv. actinidiae. RNAcentral's name for it is "partial 16S-23S ribosomal RNA intergenic spacer". The stretch from base 51 to 124 matches the Rfam family "tRNA". The record is from RNAcentral. Lineage: Bacteria; Pseudomonadati; Pseudomonadota; Gammaproteobacteria; Pseudomonadales; Pseudomonadaceae.